Molecule: ribosomal RNA, 928 nt
Filed under: uncultured archaeon
Lineage: Archaea
Description: bacterial SSU rRNA
Rfam family: Archaeal small subunit ribosomal RNA
Source: RNAcentral
UUCCGGUUGAUCCUGCCGGACCUGACUGCUAUUGGAGUAGGACUAAGUCACGCUAGUCAAAGGUGUGGAAUGGAACACCUGGCGCACGGCUCAGUAACACGUAAUGAAUCUACCCUAAGGACGAGGACAACCACGGGAAACUGUGGCUAAUCCUCGAUAGGAAAUUUGGCCUGGAACGGUAUCUUUCCAAAAACCGGCUCGCCGUGAGACACGGGCCUUAGGAUGGCGUUGCGGCCGAUUAUGCUAGACGGCGGUGUAAAGGACCACCGUGGCUACGAUCGGUAUGGGCGAUGGAAGUCGGAGCCCAGAGUCGGCUACUGAGACAAGGAGCCGAGCCUUACGAGGCUUAGCGGUCGCGAAAACUCGCCAAUGCACGAAAGUGUGAGUGGGCUACUCCAAGUGUCAUUCUUACGGAUGACUGUCGCUCAGUUUUACAAGCUGAGAAAGGAAGGAGAGGGCAAGGCUGGUGCCAGCCGCCGCGGUAAAACCAGCUCUUCGAGUGGUCAGGACGAAUAUUGGGUCUAAAGCGUUCGUAGCGGGACAUGUAGGUUCCUGGUUAAAUCCGAUGUCACAAGCAUCGGGCUGCUGGGAAUACCGCAAGUCUUGAGAGCGGGAUAGGACAGGGGUAGUAUAUGGGCAGGGGUGAAAUCCAGUGAUCCAUAUGCGACCACCGAUGGCGAAUGCACCUGUCUGGAACGUAUCUAACCGUGAUGGACGAAAGCCAGGGGAGCGACCCGGAUUAAUACCCGGUUAGUCCUGGCCGUAAACGAUGCCGACUAGUGUUGCAGCGCCAAGAGCACUGCAGUGCCCAGUGAAGACGUUAAGUCGGCCACCUGGGGAGUACGAUCGCAAGAUUGAAACUUAAAUGAAUUGACGGGGGCCCACCACCAGGAAUGAAGCCUGCGGUUUAAUUGGAUUCAACGCCGGA